RNAcentral lists this ribosomal RNA (253 nucleotides) under uncultured bacterium. RNAcentral describes it as "partial 16S ribosomal RNA". It matches the Rfam family "Bacterial small subunit ribosomal RNA", at positions 524 to 776 of the family's 1533-position model. The record is from RNAcentral.
UACAUAGGGUCCAAGCGUUAAUCGGAAUUAUUGGGCGUAAAGCGUGCGCAGGCGGCUUUGCAAGACAGAUGUGAAAUCUCCGGGCUUAACUUGGGAACUACAUUUGUGACUGCAAGGCUUGAGUACGGGAGAGGGGGAUGGAAUUCCGCGUGUAGCAGUGAAAUGCGUAGAUAUGCGGAGGAACACCAAUGGCGAAGGCAAUCCCCUGGGCCUGUACUGACGCUCAUGCACGAAAGCGUGGGGAGCAAACGGG